UACAGAGGUCCCAAGCGUUGUUCGGAUUCACUGGGCGUAAAGGGUGCGUAGGCGGUCGGGUAAGUCUGAUGUGAAAUCUCACAGCUUAACUGUGAAACUGCAUUGGAUACUAUCCGGCUAGAGGAAUGGAGGGGAGACUGGAAUACUUGGUGUAGCAGCGAAAUGCGUAGAUAUCAAGUGGAACACCAGUGGCGAAGGCGAGUCUCUGGACAUUUCCUGACGCUGAGGCACGAAAGCCAGGGGAGCAAACGGG
RNAcentral lists this ribosomal RNA (253 nucleotides) under uncultured bacterium. RNAcentral's name for it is "partial 16S ribosomal RNA". It matches the Rfam family "Bacterial small subunit ribosomal RNA", at positions 524 to 776 of the family's 1533-position model. The record is from RNAcentral.